This 1129-nucleotide ribosomal RNA is filed under the name Triticum aestivum (bread wheat). RNAcentral's name for it is "partial small subunit ribosomal RNA". Lineage: Eukaryota; Viridiplantae; Streptophyta; Magnoliopsida; Poales; Poaceae. The record is from RNAcentral.
AUGGCGGCGGCGGCGGCGGCGGCGGAGCAGGACUACUGGGGCCUGUUCCGGGAGGAGACGGGCUGGUACAACGAGAUCUUCCUCAGCGCGGUCGUGCCGGGCGGCGGCGGCUGGUGGCGGGCGCUGCCGCACCCGCUCCGCUCCUGGCUGCGCAACUGCAUCGGCGGCUACCUCCUCUACUUCGCCACCGGCUUCCUCUGGUGCUUCGUCAUCUACUACUGGAAGCGCAACGCCUACAUCCCCAAAGAUGCUGUCCCUACAGUAGAAGCUAUGAAGAAGCAAAUAAUUGUUGCAUCAAAGGCUAUGCCGUUCUACUGUGCUCUUCCGUCCGUAUCUGAGCACAUGAUUGAGAGUGGAUGGACACGGUGUUUUUUUCAUAUCAGUGAAGUUGGUUGGCCUAUGUACAUUGUCUAUGUGUCUCUAUAUCUCAUCUUUGUGGAGUUCGGAAUUUACUGGAUGCACAGAGAGUUGCAUGACAUAAAGCCACUAUACAAGCACCUACAUGCAACCCACCACAUUUACAACAAGGAGAAUACCCUAUCACCAUUUGCUGGACUAGCAUUCCAUCCAUUGGACGGGAUCCUGCAAGCCAUAUCGCACGUGAUUGCUCUGUUCCUUCUCCCUAUGCACUUCAGGACGCACAUUGCUCUGUUAUUCAUAGAGGCGGUGUGGACGGCCAACAUCCAUGACUGCAUCCACGGCAAGAUCUGGCCGGUGAUGGGCGCCGGCUACCACACCAUCCACCACACGACGUACCGGCACAACUACGGCCACUACACCGUGUGGAUGGACUGGCUGUUUGGCACCCUCCGCGAGCCGGAGGAUCUCCUCAAGAAGGACUGAGCUCGUGCGAGCGCGGUCUUUCCUGUCUCUUUAGCGGUGUGCUGUUUCAGUCUCAGUCCGGUAGGUGGAAAUAAUAAGGUUGUUCAUUUAGCUUUGUUCCUCUGGGAUGCGGUGAAAUCAAGGGGGCUUGUACCCUUCUCGGCAGCAUGAUGAUGGGUUUGUUUCUUGUUAUAUACAUACAUAGGGCUUGAUGCUGUUUCUGCUCCCAGAGUUCAUAGUGGUUUGGAGAAAAAAUAAAUCCGGGUGGAAGCCGGGUAGUACGUUGGACAAAGUAUGUUUCAAAUGU